This 787-nucleotide ribosomal RNA is filed under the name uncultured Acaulospora. Its description in RNAcentral is "SSU rRNA". It matches the Rfam family "Eukaryotic small subunit ribosomal RNA", at positions 325 to 1111 of the family's 1831-position model. Lineage: Eukaryota; Fungi; Glomeromycota; Glomeromycetes; Diversisporales; Acaulosporaceae. The record is from RNAcentral.
AUGGUAGGAUAGAGGCCUACCAUGGUUUUAACGGGUAACGGGGAAUUAGGGUUCGAUUCCGGAGAGGGAGCCUGAGAAACGGCUACCACAUCCAAGGAAGGCAGCAGGCGCGCAAAUUACCCAAUCCCGACACGGGGAGGUAGUGACAAUAAAUAACAAUAUGGGGCUCUUACGAGUCUCGUAAUUGGAAUGAGUACAAUUUAAAUCUCUUAACGAGGAACAAUUGGAGGGCAAGUCUGGUGCCAGCAGCCGCGGUAAUUCCAGCUCCAAUAGCGUAUAUNAAAGUUGUUGCAGUUAAAAAGCUCGUAGUUGAAUUUCGGGGUUCAUCCGUUGGUCGGGCUUUUUUGGUCUGUACUGGCGUGAUGGAUUCCUACCUUCUGAGUAACCAGCAUGUCAUUAAUUUGGUGCGCUGGGGAAGCAGGACUGUUACCUUGAAAAAAUUAGAGUGCUUAAAGCAGGCUAUCGCCUGAAUACAUUAGCAUGGAAUAAUGAAAUAGGACGGCAUGGUUCUAUUUUGUUGGUUUCUAGGAUCACCGUAAUGAUUAAUAGGGAUAGUUGGGGCAUUAGUAUUCAAUUGUCAGAGGUGAAAUUCUUGGAUUUAUUGAAGACUAACUUCUGCGAAAGCAUUUGCCAAGGAUGUUUUCAUUAAUCAAGAACGAAGGUUAGGGGAUCGAAGACGAUCAGAUACCGUCGUAGUCUUAACCAUAAACUAUGCCGACUAGGGAUCGGACGAUGUUAAUUUUUUAAUGACUCGUUCGGCGCCUUACGGGAAACCAAAGUGUUUGGG